RNAcentral lists this ribosomal RNA (377 nucleotides) under uncultured bacterium. RNAcentral describes it as "bacterial SSU rRNA". It matches the Rfam family "Bacterial small subunit ribosomal RNA", at positions 28 to 406 of the family's 1533-position model. The record is from RNAcentral.
GACGAACGCUGGCGGCGUGCUUAACACAUGCAAGUCGAGCGGUAAGGCCCUUUCGGGGGUACACGAGCGGCGAACGGGUGAGUAACACGUGGGUGACCUGCCCUUAGCUCUGGGAUAAGCCUGGGAAACUGGGUCUAAUACCGGAUAUGACUCCAUGACGCAUGUUGUGGGGUGGAAAGCCUUGUGCGGCUAGGGAUGGGCCUGCGGCCUAUCAGCUUGUUGGUGGGGUGAUGGCCUACCAAGGCGACGACGGGUAGCCGGCCUGAGAGGGCGACCGGCCACACUGGGACUGAGACACGGCCCAGACUCCUACGGGAGGCAGCAGUGGGGAAUCUUGCGCAAUGGGCGAAAGCCUGACGCAGCGACGCCGCGUGGGG